GCCAUCUGCUCUGCUUUUUUUUUUUUCCAAUUUUUAUCUGCAACAGUGAAUCUAUUUGUCGUGGUACAGCCAAUUUUCAUGCUAGAAUUCGCUGGUUCGCUGUGAAUUACUGUGAUUUAUAUGCCGCGUCAUUUCCUGACAAACGAAACGAUCCAUGGUCACUGGCGCAGUGGCGCCCCCAUGUUCUGAGGAAGUUCAGGACAUGGGUAGUGGGGGCAGCAAGCAGCAUGGAUGAUUUUGAUUAGUUGGAAGCCUUAAUAAUCUGCAAUUUUUUAGCAUCUCAUAGUGUAUGUGCAGUGUCAGUUAAGUUAACAGAAACAUGUCGAUCAGACAACAGACUUGGACAAAAUAAAGAUAAAGUAUUCAGUCUUUACAGCUCAACCAGCCCUGAUAACUUUGUCAGUUCCACUGGGAUACUUCCUGUAAUGUUCUUCCCCGACAAUGUGCUGCAAGAAAAAAAAAAUAUUAGGUGCCAAAUACUUUUUCAUUAAGGUAGGCUAAAAAUUGAAGGUAGAAUUGACAUGGUUGUCAUACAUUGAGAAUAACCUUGGAAAAGCUUCUGAACUGCAUUGCACCCAGGACCAUGAUGCUGGUAAGCAUGGAUCACCACCCUCUUGUGCCCAACCUUCCUGUGGAUAUCGUGAUACCAUGCUAGCCAUGAUAUUUGCUGUUAAUGUUGCAUACACUAAUUCAGUCUCAAAGUGGAUUUCUUGUUCUGAAACAUAAGGGGUCGUUGCAGCUAGGACAUAGAAGGGUAUCUGUGGAACAAGAAUGUUGUAUAUAACUGUGGUCAGGGUGUGGAACCUAUGUACAAUGUAAAAGGCAUGAGCAUGCACGGAUUUCAGCAUCUGAUCCAUGUGGACUUUGCUUUAUAAGAGGAGCUGAUUAGACAAUGCAACAAGGAUAGUUGCAGUUUUUUUUGUCCAAGGUGUAAGAAGUUUCAUGACCAGUUUCUGUAUGAGAGUCCAAGUUUGAAGUGGAUAAAACCUCAAUCCAUGUGAAAAAAGCAUGUGUGGCUAUGCUGAAUAAUGAUGUUUGCCAACGGCGCUAUAAGUUAAAGAAGAUGUAUUUUGAUCCUCUUCCACUACAUCAAGUGCCCAAGAAAUGUGUUGAUAUUUGUUUGAAAUGUGUUCAGACUUAUAAUGAUGAUGGCAUUGACAUGUGUAAGUCUUGCCAUUUUCUCUGUAACUGAUACCCUAUGUUCUGGAGAUGGGAUUAACAUGUAAUGGAUAUGGCAUUGAUCAUCUGUACCUGAUCUUUUGUUUUCUAAACCUUUUCUGUGAUAAAAAUAGAUUGUGAUCUGUGAUGAUA
Molecule: long non-coding RNA, 1311 nt
Organism: Sorghum bicolor (sorghum)
Lineage: Eukaryota; Viridiplantae; Streptophyta; Magnoliopsida; Poales; Poaceae
Exons: 3
Source: RefSeq, a predicted model, not a curated record